Mus caroli (Ryukyu mouse) is the source of this 603-nucleotide long non-coding RNA. RefSeq lists it as uncharacterized. The record is from RefSeq and is a predicted model, not a curated record. Lineage: Eukaryota; Metazoa; Chordata; Mammalia; Rodentia; Muridae.
GGCGAUGGUGUAUCGGAGGCCGGCGCCAUCUUUUAGGCGCCCGGCUGCCUACACUUGCUAAGAUUUGACCAGCUGAACUUGUCCAAAGAGUGCAUUAAUUCCAUUUUCCAAGACAUAGAAGAUUUUCAGUGACUAUGUGGACACACCAAGAAACCUUCUUUCGACACAUGGAAAUGUCAGCUUUGGAAAUAAUUUAACCCGAAUACUCAGGCUGCUGGAAUGGCUCUCCAUGUCGUUGCUGUAAUAUGGCUCACAAUUAUAAUUAAUGGAACAUCUUCGGAGUGAGCUAAGGCUGCAUGCACAUGGAAAAAUAUCUAAUGUGCUAAGCAUACAGAAACACGAACUAAGAAGUCCAUUUUUUUUUUUACAAGCAGAAGAGGGAGGCAAUUAGGGAGACACUUUUCAGCAAGAAAGAAAAAAAAAUAUCCGAAAAAUUUUAUGUUUCUGACACACUUUAAGAUGAGCCUCAGGCUCCAUUAAGGGUGUGGUAAUGAAGAGGGUUUGUGAGCCACAGGAUGGCUCCGUGGAAAGGUUUCUCCUUCUCAGGAAUCAAGACGAAUUAGCCUCAUUAUUUGCAGACACUUGACAAGAGCAGAGGAAAGC